This 331-nucleotide long non-coding RNA is filed under the name Equus asinus (donkey). RNAcentral describes it as "lncRNA (ENSEASG00005033679.1)". Lineage: Eukaryota; Metazoa; Chordata; Mammalia; Perissodactyla; Equidae. The record is from RNAcentral.
GAGUAUUUUGUAGCCCUCAGUUCUGGUUUCCACACGAAGCGAUGUGCUGCUCUGCUGUUUUCCCCGGGGACCCAGAGGCAGAUGGAGACAAACAGCAGCAGCUGACAGGCGACAGCAACAUGAUUUCAACACGGAUGGGAGAAAGAGGCCCCCAGGUGUAAUGGGGAAGAACAAGAAACUACUGGAAAUUCUGCCCUGGAAGAAUCUGAUGUGAAACAAGAAUAUCCGGCCCUUUCUUUCUCUUUCUGUGAGUCCAGUGGACACACAGCGUUUGGAGCACAGGAGGAUGGAUGGGAAGGUAGAUCUUCUUCCAUGUCAGCCAUGUUGUGAC